GCGGUCUUUCAAAACCAAGGUUGGGACGGUCUACCACUUCCUCUAAAAUA
Molecule: ribosomal RNA, 50 nt
Filed under: Nostocales cyanobacterium
Lineage: Bacteria; Bacillati; Cyanobacteriota; Cyanophyceae; Nostocales
Description: partial 23S ribosomal RNA
Source: RNAcentral